AACGAACGCUGGCGGCAUGCCUAACACAUGCAAGUCGAACGAGACCUUCGGGUCUAGUGGCGCACGGGUGCGUAACGCGUGGGAACCUGCCCUUAGGUUCGGAAUAACUCCCCGAAAGGGGUGCUAAUACCGGAUAAUGUCUUCGGACCAAAGAUUCAUCGCCUUUGGAUGGGCCCGCGUUGGAUUAGCUAGUUGGUAGGGUAAAAGCCUACUAAGGCGACGAUCCAUAGCUGGUCUGAGAGGAUGAUCAGCCACACUGGGACUGAGACACGGCCCAGACUCCUACGGGAGGCAGCAGUGGGGAAUAUUGGACAAUGGGCGAAAGCCUGAUCCAGCAAUGCCGCGUGAGUGAUGAAGGCCUUAGGGUUGUAAAGCUCUUUUACCCGGGAUGAUAAUGACAGUACCGGGAGAAUAAGCUCCGGCUAACUCCGUG
Molecule: ribosomal RNA, 433 nt
Filed under: uncultured bacterium
Lineage: Bacteria
Description: partial 16S ribosomal RNA
Rfam family: Bacterial small subunit ribosomal RNA
Source: RNAcentral